RNAcentral lists this ribosomal RNA (253 nucleotides) under uncultured bacterium. Its description in RNAcentral is "partial 16S ribosomal RNA". It matches the Rfam family "Bacterial small subunit ribosomal RNA", at positions 524 to 776 of the family's 1533-position model. The record is from RNAcentral.
UACGGAGGGUGCGAGCGUUGUCCGGAAUCACUGGGCGUAAAGGGCGCGUAGGCGGCGCGGGAAGUCAACGGUGAAAGCUUGGGGCUCAACUCCGAGUCUGCCGUCGAUACUCCCGUGCUCGAGCACUGUAGAGGCAGAUGGAAUUCCGGGUGUAGCGGUGGAAUGCGUAGAGAUCCGGAAGAACACCGGUGGCGAAGGCGGUCUGCUGGGCAGUUGCUGACGCUGAUGCGCGACAGCGUGGGGAGCAAACAGG